UCUCCCUUCAUUUUUCCUCAGUUUCACUCUUCAUUUCUUCGGUCGUAUCUCCACCACCACCACCACCAUCACCAUGAAACGGGAUCUCUUUUUCUAUCACGAUGACCACCAUCAUCUUCCCAUCUUCAUCAUCUUCAUAUUCUCGGUUGUCAAUUUUUCUAUCUUCAGUUUUAUUUGAAUCUGAUAAAAAGAUUACAUUUUUGUUUUGGUGAAGGUUUGAAGAGAUACUACGACCAAAACAUUCACGAUCUAGUACUCAUGCAGCAAAAGCAAACUAAUAACCUAAAUCGGUUAUAAGCUCAAAGGAAUGAUCUUAACUCCAAAGUGAGGAUGCUUAGGGAAAAGCUGCAGCGUCUCCAGGAUGGAUCCUAUGUUGUUGAAGUCGUGAAGGAAGCCGAGGAACCAAAGGUAGGAUUCGAUUCUUUCUUCUUCGGUAGGAUUGAUUACCAAGAUUUACAACAGCGUAAAAAUGAAAAGCGGCUCGAGUUUGUCUGGCAAGGUUCUAAGACCCUUGGUUCAUCAGCUCAGAUUUUUGCGGGUGCACUCACCAGAAAUUAUGAACCUCCCAGUAGUAACUUCUACUUCGAAGUUAAUGAUGCAUCUCCUAUUGUUCAGGCAAAUGUAACUCGAACAAAUCAUAUAAUGUGGACCAUGGGGACAGACUUUAAGUACCAAUACGCAAAUUCAUGAACCAAAGGUUGAUUGCUUCAGUGCCCUGCGAAUGAGUGUACCUGCAAUUGUGUCAUCUGCAGUUUCGCCAAGCAAGGACUUUAUUCAUUUGUAAAACCAUUAGAGGUUUUCUUGCUGGAGAAACUAUGCUAGCAGCUGGAAGGCUUGUUGCAGAAACUACAUAAUGAUAUCGUUGCCAUGUAUUUCGCCAGCAGUAUUCUCAUCCUUGCAGAAACGUCUUAAACAUGAGAGAACCUCUACCAUGCAUAGUUGCAACGAAAGGAAUACGUCAUUCAGAGUUUGUGCCGAUAAUUCAUUAAAUGCUUUAUCCACAGCCGAUAAAAGUUCGCCAACAGUAGUGCGCGCCUCUCUGUGCUGUAAUGAUUGUAUAGACCUGAAAAACCCAAGAUCAAGAACGUUCAUGUCGGGACUUUGUGAAGAUUCAAUUGGUUUAUCUUCAAGUGUUCCAGCCGGACGAUUCUUGCUCGUUCGUUUUGCUGCCUCCUUUGUUACAAAAGGAGAUAUACCUAUCUUUCCACUAAAAACUUCAUUGCCAAACUCAUCAAACCUAGGACGAGCUACUGCUGCCAAAAACAUUACCUUUUUAAUGAAUCUUUUACUUUGGCAUGUGCGAUAUGGUUCGGUUUCUUCAGGAUGAAGUUGACUUGGGCAUGUUCAGAGCUUCGGCAAUGGAUCUUAUGGUGGUGCGUCUUCGCAAUGGUAUCUCCAUAAUCUUGCUGAAAUCAACCUUCUUGGGUUUAGGACCAACUCUGGUUGGUUUUCGUGAAGACACGUCAAAAGGCUCCCAAAAGAGGUGUAAAGGCCCUAGUUAUAAUGAAUUCUUCAUUACAGUUUGUAAUCCUACAUGUGUAGUGUUUUACAUCUGCUACUAUGCUUCACAACUUAAGAUGAUUUCAAAAUGAGAUGGAGUACAUGCGUACAUAUGAAUCACCUGAAGUUUAUGAGUGAAGAGAGAUCUCAGAUUGAACCUCCUGAGUGAAGAGAGAUCUCAGAUUAAAUCACCUGAAGAGAGAUCUCAAUUUGAUUUUGGAACCCUGUUUUUGUAAAAACCAAAUUAAUCUGAAGUUCAGUAUACUUUUGAUUUUUCUUGUAGAGAUCAAAGUGAUUUUUAGAAAUUCGAACGAAUGAAUGUCGAGAAAUCCGACCAAACUGAUAUGUUGGGUUUCUGUAUUGAAAACGAAAUUUGAAUUUGUCGAUUUGAAAAUUUGGAGAUUGGGGGAAGGCAUA
Papaver somniferum (opium poppy) is the source of this 1917-nucleotide long non-coding RNA. RefSeq lists it as uncharacterized. The transcript is spliced from 13 exons. The record is from RefSeq and is a predicted model, not a curated record. Lineage: Eukaryota; Viridiplantae; Streptophyta; Magnoliopsida; Ranunculales; Papaveraceae.